Non-coding RNA from Mycena vulgaris, 87 nucleotides. The record is from the annotation of a GenBank genome assembly. NCBI's taxonomy places the organism in Eukaryota, Fungi, Basidiomycota, Agaricomycetes, Agaricales, Mycenaceae.
UCGGGCGUGGUGUACGGUGCACAGCGGGGCUUUUGAAAAAAGAGCCCCCGCACUGCGCAGGGCGGGGUUCGACUCCCCGCGCCCGGA